CCUACGGGGGGCAGCAGUCGAGAAUCAUUCACAAUGGGGGAAACCCUGAUGGUGCGACGCCGCGUGGGGGAAUGAAGGUCUUCGGAUUGUAAACCCCUGUCAUGUGGGAGCAAAUUAAAAAGAUAGUACCACAAGAGGAAGAGACGGCUAACUCUGUGCCAGCAGCCGCGGUAAUACAGAGGUCUCAAGCGUUGUUCGGAAUCACUGGGCGUAAGGCGUGCGUAGGCUGUUUCGUAAGUCGUGUGUGAAAGGCGCGGGCUCAACCCGCGGACGGCACAUGAUACUGCGAGACUAGAGUAAUGGAGGGGGAACCGGAAUUCUCGGUGUAGCAGUGAAAUGCGUAGAUAUCGAGAGGAACACUCGUGGCGAAGGCGGGUUCCUGGACAUUAACUGACGCUGAGGCACGAUGGCCAGGGGAGCGAAAGGGAUUAGAUACCCCUGUAGUC
Molecule: ribosomal RNA, 446 nt
Filed under: uncultured bacterium
Lineage: Bacteria
Description: partial 16S ribosomal RNA
Rfam family: Bacterial small subunit ribosomal RNA
Source: RNAcentral